GAUGAACGCUGGCGGCGUGCCUAAUACAUGCAAGUCGAGCGAACAGACGAGGAGCUUGCUCCUCUGACGUUAGCGGCGGACGGGUGAGUAACACGUGGAUAACCUACCUAUAAAACUGGGAUAACUUCGGGAAACCGGAGCUAAUACCGGAUAAUAUAUUGAACCGCAUGGUUCAAUAGUGAAAGACGGUUUUGCUGUCACUUAUAGAUGGAUCCGCGCCGCAUUAGCUAGUUGGUAAGGUAACGGCUUACCAAGGCAACGAUGCGUAGCCGACCUGAGAGGGUGAUCGGCCACACUGGAACUGAGACACGGUCCAGACUCCUACGGGAGGCAGCAGUAGGGAAUCUUCCGCAAUGGGCGAAAGCUUGACGGAGCAACGCCGCGUGAGUGAUGAAGGUCUUCGGAUCGUAAAACUCUGUUAUUAGGGAAGAACAAAUGUGUAAGUAACUAUGCACGUCUUGACGGUACCUAAUCAGAAAGCCACGGCUAACUACGUG
RNAcentral lists this ribosomal RNA (497 nucleotides) under uncultured bacterium. Its description in RNAcentral is "partial 16S ribosomal RNA". It matches the Rfam family "Bacterial small subunit ribosomal RNA", at positions 28 to 507 of the family's 1533-position model. The record is from RNAcentral.